UCAACUGACUGAGCCACCCAGGCGCCCCACUAAUAAUAUGUUUUGACCUCAAACUUAAUUUUGUUUCUUCCUCUCUCAGGUACAGCCUCAAGUAUAUCAAGGUAAGAUUUUAGGUUUUAGUAUUCUUUGUAAUUUUUUUUCAGUACUCGUGUUUGAUGUGGAUUUUAAUUUUUUAACUAGGGAUAAAUAUGGUGUCUUCUGAUGUCUAAUUAAUUGACUGUUAGGAGGCUAAGUGACAAUGUGGAGGGAUUUGCUCUCUUAAGAGACCAGGGGAGGAAAACAUCACAGGAGGAAGAAGAACAGAAUGAGUGUAAUUCUGCACAAAAAUGGUUAGGAAACAAGUGAUGAUAUAUGAUCCUGAGGUUUGGAGUGAGUACUUUGCCAUGACCUGGCUCUUGAUGAAAUGUGAAGAUGAGAAAACCUUCUUUGAGUCUAUCAAGAAGCCUAAGCUUAGAGAAGAAGCCAGAUAUUGCCAGGAAGGGUGUGUGUCACAAGAGAGGUUUAAACCAAGGUUUUGAGUCUGAGGUGGAGGGAGCCAAUCAUGCCAGGGGAGAAUGAGAAGUGAAUGUGAUACAAAUGGGGGUAAUGUAUUCUGCAUGGGCCCCAUAGACGGUGGUGAUUCUGUGGUGCUGUCUUGAGAGGGUGGCUGCCUGACCCAUAACAAGUCCGCAAAGGCUAGUUGGUAUUCAUCACUGUGAAUGCAGCGGUGGUGGCAGUGAGAAGAGUGAUCUCAGGGCAUGAGAGCUCUCACACUGGGUCAACAGAAGAGAAGUUUGCACUUUGUGGUCAGAUGAGAGAAUUAAUUCCUGUUAAAGGAGUCUGUCUAGAGCUUACAUGUGUUAUCCACCUGUAAUUGGGUGCUUCGUGUGUGUUGUUUUCCUCUAAGGUGGGAGGUAACAUUCUCUUUUUGGGAUGUAAAGCUUCUCUUUUAGGGGCUGUGAGUUAUCCAGAUCCUCCAGCAAGUGUGUUUUUUUCCAAAGACCUUGUCCUCCACAGCCCCCAAGCUAGGAUUCAUGAAAGGCAAUCUGUGAGCAGCAGGAAGUCAUUGAAGACUUUUGGGUAGUCAAUCAAUCAACAUUUGGAGCUUUCCUUGUGUGGAAUUCAAAUAGCACCUAUAAGUGGAAGUGGCACAAACCAGGACUAAAUGAUGGAUUUGAUUAUUUGUUUGUUGGCAGGGACCUACUUACGUAAUUUUAUGAUUGGAGGAGAGAAACAUAAGUUGAUAGGAUUUGAUUUUUCUCUUUCAUCUCUGGUGGUGACAUAAGUACUUGGAGUGAUUGAAUUUUCCAAGAAGGGUGCAUCCAGAUGGGAGAGAAAUUAGGAGAAGACAUUUUAUUGCACUUCUCCAUUUUGGACGAUAUUUUAAAUAGGAAUCUCGUUGAUAUAAGGUUUUCUUAGGUUUAAAAUGCUGCUAAAACUUGAUUUCUUCAGGCACAAUGGAAAGCUAAAAAGUUACUUACACCCCCCGUCAGAUAAUGUGUCUGUACUAAUGCACUGAGAUUAUUCGAUGUUACUGGGUUUGCUAAUAAUCUUAGAAAUUGUUUUCUCUCCUUUUAGUUAGUUUAUAGCUAAUAACUGAGAAUAUCAAUACAUUUAAAAAGAAAACAGAACUUGCUGAUGAAGUAUCCAUUUGGGAGCAGAAGGGAUCAUUACCCUUUCAAAGAUUUUUUCUGAUUUCAUUUUGGUUAUUUGUACCUCUGGUAGUGUAUCCUACUGACCUAUUUCAUGUGUUCUAUAAACAGUUCUAGUUCAAGACAAGCUUCACAAAUGUCAAGCACUGUCUGUUUAUUUGUGGAAGGAAUCACACAUUAAAAGAUAGUUUUGUCUAUCACUAUGCUAUUUGUGAAUUCUAAUCCUUUGUCAUAUGUUUUAUAGAUCAAUGAAUCAAAGAAAUGUCUUUAAGAAACUAAGAGAAAUUAAGUUUCUUUCUGAUGAAGCUCUUAAAUUAAAGGAGGACAUCGAAACAGUUGAAUAUUUUAAUGAAAUUUUAAGUGACAGUCUUCAAAGUGCACGUGCUACCUUGCAAUCUGAGAGAGAGAAGAAUGUCAAGAAUAAGGGCUUGUCACAAGAUGGAAAUGGUGAAUUCGAGGAUUGAGAGCUGACAACCUUGAGGUCCAAUAACUGUGAACUGGAAGAAAAUAAAAAGGCCUUAGAAGACAAGUAUAAUGCCUUGAGGUCUGUGAAAGCAAUCAAGGAAGUAAAAGUCAAACAGCUGAAGGAGAAAGCACAUAUCCUUGAAGAAUUCUAUAAACAAAGAAGAGUGGCUGCAGAAGAGAAACUGAAAAUGGCACAAUGUGAACUGGUGGCAAUUGAGAAUCAACUGGAAGUUACAGAGGAAAAUUUGAAAAUAGCUAACAAGGAAAUAUACAAGUACAAGUGAGUUCAGAUACUAAUUAGCAGUGGCUCAUGAAACCCCUGUCCAUUUCUUGUUUUUCACAUUUGUACAAAUUUAGACUCAAUUAACAAGUAAUAUAAAUACAUAUUCAGAGGACAUAUCCAUAGAGAAUGAACAGAUAGAAAAAGAUAAGGUUUAGAAAGAACAAAAAACAGUCAAGUUACUAAACAUUUACAGAACUCCAGUAUUGGCCUGACCAUGUGGAAACUUCAUCCAUGCCAACAUUCCUCAGGGGUGGUGUCAACUCUCAUAAUCUAUAGGAAAGCAGUGUGUGGUAGGAUGAAUUAUACCCAUCAACAUGGUAGUGCCAUUUGAUGGCCCUGGUUUUUGGGAAAUAUGGUGAAGAUAUAUGUUAAGGGACAAAGAGCUUUAUGAUGAAAGACACUUGUCACAUGAUGAAUUAGGGAAAGAUUAAAAAUGGGAAGGAAUUCUAUGAACUCUGAACCCUAUAGGCAUGGAAUAAUGAGUAAGGAAAGGAUGUAACAAUAGCUUUGAUCCUACUGUACAUUUAUAAUCAUGUAAGAAUAAAUUGUAUCGGGGACAGAUACGAGGUUGAUGGGAACGUGGGCAGAUUAUUUAAAAUCAUACCCAAUAUUGGGCCUUAUCUGCCAAAAGCAAUUGUAACUCACAGGCAGCAAAUUGAACAAACACAAGAACAGCUGCAGCAGGCAGAGCUCACCUUCAGACACCAGGUAAUCUGAGUUCUGCCUGACAUACUGAACCCUUAGCACCUCAUGCAGGUGAGUGUAGUGGCCCUUGGAAUCCCUAAACACGGGCUUUUCAUUGUUGGCUUUUUCAGAUUGCAGUUCAUGAGAAGAAUGCUCAGCACAACUGGAUAAGUGUUUUCUUGUUUCCUCCUCUUUCUUUGGUGCACAGUCUGGCAAGACUGAAGGUGGAUGUGUUUUUUCUCCCCCAGAUCAAGACUCAGAUCUGGGACAGGGAGAUGGCAGAACAGAGCAGGGAGGUCGCCCACUUGAAACAGACUGGAUGUUAUGGAAGGAAAGAGGCUGCCUGAGGGACACAUGGGACAGAAACCAAUGCCUGGAAGACCAAAGAUGCAGAACCCUCCAAGGAGAGGGCCAUUAGCAAAUCCAGAAACCAGUGUGACCUCUGUGAGUUACAGCACCUCUGACUGUACCAAGAAUGCAGGCAAGGACAAGAGAUUAAGAUCACCUCUGGCUGUCAAAGACCCUAAGCUGCUGGUGACUUCUAAACUUCUAAGCUGCUGGUGACUUCUCAGCCAGGCUGCUGAGAGACAACACGUAGGCAUAAUAAGGUAAUCUUCAACAGUAGAUGGGACAUAUGAAAAAGACACAGGAACCAUCUGAAAGGAUUGCCACUGAUCAGAUCAAGACAACCUGAACAUCAAAAUAAAUCAUGGCAGGAAUGGUUUCCCAAUACUGAAUGAUAAACAAUCCAUGAGUCUACAGUGAUACCUAAAAAACAUUUUUAAAAUGGGGAUUGGAGAAAAGAGAAAUACCUUUACAAAAGAUUACACACAAAUAAAGGUAGAAAUAGAAAAUGGAGAUAAGAAAUCACCUUUUAAAAACCAUCAUUCUAACAGUUUGGCCACCAAUUAUCAGUAGAUGCUAAAGUUGUUGGGUGAAAUAAUGUUGGGGCAUAGGAAAUGGACUGUGGGAACCCAGUGAACUUAAUAACUAACAUACAAAGAAACCAGGCUGUGUCAUGUGGCUCAUGAUGCAGGGUCAGUGUGAAGGGCACAAUAUCAGACAGUAAAAGAUUUUGAAAAGAGAAGAAAAAACAGAAAAGUAUAGACAAAUAGAAUGCACAUAUUGGUGGUGAAUGUAAAGUCCAAGAGAAGAAGGUCACAUUGAAUUCACUGGAUAAAAAGAUCCUGUUAAAAAUCAACAACUAGCUAAACCAACCAACCAACCAACAACCAUAAGCUGGUGACAUGAUACUCAUCUAAAAUGCAAGGUCAUAGACAUUUUGAAAAUAAGACACUGGAAAAAACUAAAGUAUGCAAACACCAAUCAAAGAAAAGCUGCUCUGGGUAUAGUAAUAUCAGAUAAAAUAUACAGAAGGCAAAAAGCAUUGCUAGAUAUAAAGCAAGUUGGUACAAAGUAAUAAAAGGUAUAGUUCACCAAGAAAGGAAAAGUUGUGCAUCCCCAUUUACAUGGCUGGCAACCGUAUAAAGGGAAGUAUGCCAAAAACUGCAAGAAGAAUCAAAUCCUCAAGCAGAGUGGGAGAUUUUUUCACAGCCCUCUCUCAGCAACUGAUAAUGGGCAGACCCCAAAUCAGUAAGGAUGCAGAAGAUUUGAACAGGAAGCCAUCUUAAUAUAGAUUAUAUACAUAGACAUAUAUAGAAAUAUAUGUAGGUAGUAUAUAUAAACAUAUGUUAAAUAAAUAGUUAAAAU
Molecule: long non-coding RNA, 4773 nt
Organism: Herpailurus yagouaroundi (jaguarundi)
Lineage: Eukaryota; Metazoa; Chordata; Mammalia; Carnivora; Felidae
Exons: 9
Source: RefSeq, a predicted model, not a curated record